AAAGACUUGUAGAACCUAUGUAUUGAAGCUGUUCUGGUGGCUUGUGGUGGCCCAACACCUUAUUUAAGACUUACCUUAUGUUGGCUUUAUGUUGGCUUUAUCUUUAAUUUGUCACCUGUCUGUAAGUUCCUAAAGGCCAAAGGACCAAUAAGAGAGAUGAGUUUAUAUUAGCAGUCUGUUUUAGCCCAACCCAGUCCUCUCCACCCUUUGACACACUACUGUACAUAAAUACAGCUCAUGGAGUUAUGCAUGUGUCUCACUGCGCACUACACACACAUCUCUGCAAUCACACACUUCUCCAGCAUGCACACAGGACUGCUCUCUCUGUGGGUGACAGGGGUUUUGUUGCUGCCUCAGUGUUUGGGCUAGGCGUGCAGAACUGUGGAACUUUUGCAUACUGCAAAACACUUUGACAUCAAGGUUAUACAGAUGAUAGUGAAUUUGAUUAUGCGACACAGACCGCAGGAUACACCGACUAUACAGAUUACUCCUUUGAAUAUGAAUCUGACUAUAAUACAACCAGUAUAAAUUAUGAUAUGUAUGUAACUCCCAAUCAAGGCAAUAAACAUGGAGAAUCCAAUUCAGUAAACGAAGAAGCAGUCCGCGGUGGCAUGAACCCGAUAAAUGAUGAGGCCUCAACAGUGUGUAGAUACUGUGCUGUAGGACUGGGACUUAUAGUGCAACGGUUCUGCCAAUAAACAUGACUGGGAUUUUUACACACACAGCCUGAACAAAGGGCUGAAAGAAUUUGGAUUUUCGGGCACUGCAGGAUGCCAUUUCAGAUGCCCAAGCAGCUUGACCUUUUCUUCAGAGGGUGCACUGUGGGUUCUUUUUAACUGUUCUUUUAAGCAUUUAUUCUGAGUUUUGUAAAACCUUCAUUAAAUAUAAAGUGUACACUGUAGAAUUUGGCCAAGCAAUAGUGACUUAUACAUUGGUUCAUCAAAAAGCCCUAGAAAGAUACACUUACUAUUACCCAUGCCUAAUUCACUUACAUUGUAAGCUAGCCACAUAGGCGUCACAAUGGAUCGUGAGCCUUUUUUUAUUGAAAAAAACCCCAAAACAAAUACAAAACAGAUAUCAGGUACAGAACUUAAUGUAAAGUUGCUGGCAGCAUACAUAGUAAAUUAUAGGGUUGAAUAUUAAUAGCAAAUAUGAAUAUAUUUUUAUUAACAAAUUGGGCAGAAUUCCACCUCCAUUUUUUUUAAAAAGAACAAUCAAUCAUGUAAUUGUAUGCAAACAAAUGUUUUUACACAACUUUAAAGCAUCAAACAUUUCAUUUUGGAAGCACCAACCUCUCAUUCAGACUUUGUAAAUCAAACAGAGUUGGAUAUAGAGAGAUUGAUGGAGAGAUAGAAAUAAAGCAGAAUGAUUUUUUAUAUUAAUUGUUAUAAUGAUGUUAGGGAGAAAACAAUUAUUACCGUGAUGUUACAGAAAACAAACAAACAAUAUCCAAUAUUACCGCAUGAGUGUAGAACACUCAUUUUUAAGCUGUUUGGCAAUCUCUUUGGCAUAAAAAACACACAAUUUGCUUAUACUCUUACAAAAAACGGUUCCUUAAGGGAUCAGUUUGCUUACACUCUCACAAAAAGGUCCUUCACUCCCUAAAGAGCUUUACUUGAAACCCU
Long non-coding RNA from Ictalurus punctatus (channel catfish), 1625 nucleotides. The record is from Ensembl. Lineage: Eukaryota; Metazoa; Chordata; Actinopteri; Siluriformes; Ictaluridae.